RNAcentral lists this non-coding RNA (119 nucleotides) under Butyrivibrio proteoclasticus. RNAcentral's name for it is "SAM-I sequence". It matches the Rfam family "SAM riboswitch aptamer (S box leader)". Rfam says of the family: The SAM riboswitch is found upstream of a number of genes which code for proteins involved in methionine or cysteine biosynthesis in Gram-positive bacteria. The SAM riboswitch acts at the level of transcription termination control. The predicted structure consists of a complex stem-loop region followed by a single stem loop terminator region. The record is from RNAcentral. Lineage: Bacteria; Bacillati; Bacillota; Clostridia; Lachnospirales; Lachnospiraceae.
CUCUUAUUCAGAGUGGUGGAGGUACAUAGGACCUAUGAAGCCACGGCAACCCCUUGAUUAUUCAGGAAGGUGCCAACCUGAGCGUGCAAUUCCGAGUUUCGGACUACGAGCAAUAAGAG